RNAcentral lists this long non-coding RNA (312 nucleotides) under Homo sapiens (human). Its description in RNAcentral is "HSALNT0177412". Lineage: Eukaryota; Metazoa; Chordata; Mammalia; Primates; Hominidae. The record is from RNAcentral.
CGGUCUGGCUAUGCUGUCCCCUGCUGAACCUCUUCCUGGGAGGGGCCUCAGGGGUUCUUGCUCACUCCCAGUGUGCCUGAAAACCUUCCAGGAGGACGCUCGCCUUCCACUGUCCACAGCCCCCAUCAGAUGUAGAAACUGAAACCCAGCUUGGGGACCGCCUUCCUGAGGACACAACGCUGGGUAAGGCUGGGCUUGGCCCUGCUGGGGAAAAGGGGUCAGGGUGGGAUCUGGGGAGCAGGAAGCUGUCCACUGUAGGAAGAGGGGAGGGGAAGACCCAGAGAAAGCCCCGGCUCCUGGCCGCUCCCCAGC